This is a long non-coding RNA of Anolis carolinensis (green anole), 2326 nucleotides long. RefSeq lists it as uncharacterized. The transcript is spliced from 3 exons. NCBI's taxonomy places the organism in Eukaryota, Metazoa, Chordata, Lepidosauria, Squamata, Anolidae. The record is from RefSeq and is a predicted model, not a curated record.
UUAUGGGGCAAAAUCGUAGCUAGUCAUCAUUCACUCACCUGAUGCCACCUUAAAUUCAUCUUUUGGGGAGCCAUUGUUGUCCAAUACCGUUGCCAUCAUGGAUUUACAUGAAUUUGUCAGAGUAUCUGUUUUUGUUUGUGUGUUGUUGUUUUUUUUUUUUGUUUUUUUGUUUUGUUUUUUUGGAGGAUGGUCCAGAGAUGUGAUUCACCGUUAAAUGCCCUUGCAAGGUCAAUGAAUGCUAUGUACAGAGGUUGAUUUUGUUCCCUGCAUUUUUCUUGGAGCUGUUGUGCAAUGCAAAUCAUAUUCAUUGUUCCUCUGAAGGGGUGGAAAGAGCUCUGGGAUUCUGGGAGAAUGUCUUCUGAAAUAGGUAGAAGGCAGUUUGCAAGGAUUCUGGUGACAAUUUUCCAGCAGAAGUUAGAAGGGAGAUACCUUGAUAGUUCAACAUACAUAUAGUAGCAAUUAGAGGAAAGGUCUAGAAGAGAAAGAGAACAUUCCUUUUUCUUUUUUAACAUUCCCAGGUUCCUGAAUCCUCAGUGCCACGCAGUUAUUGCUGUUCAGUCCUGAAUAAAGUAUAUUAAGUAGCAACACUUCUGAACUUUGUUUCACAACACGUAUGUGGAGAUACAAAGUGACUUAUACAGUGCUGUUACUGCCACUGCUCUAGACUUAACUGUCAUGCAGUAUAAAGGAUGGUGGAUGUGUUGUGAAUCUAUUGCUUUGGUAAAGACAAUAAUGGAGAACUAAGAGAUAAUGGGAUCAACCAUGCUUCAGGGUUAGUCUAUGUAUAAUGAACUCUUGAACCUUGUUUCCUUUUUUUUAGGUUAAAUCUUUUUCAGGGGAGUAGGAGGAUAGGUUGAUUUCUACAUCUUGAAGCUUCAUGUUACACUAGUUACAAAAGCAAGAAUCAAAGAAGUAUAGAGUUGGAAAAGACCACAAGUCAUCCAGUCGAACUCAAGUUGCUCCUGACAUGAGAAAAAAAAAUCCAGUCGAACCCAUGACUAUGCAGGAAUACAUAAUCAAAGCAUUCCUGACAGAGGACCAUCCAGCCUCUAAUUAAAAACCUCCAAAGAUUGGGAUUCCAUCACACUCCAAGACAACACAUUCCACUCUUGAACCGCUCUUACUGUCAGAAAGUUAUGGCAACCCUAAGGACAUCUGUGCAUGCUGUUUGCUGUUCUUCAUCCUUCAGACCUGACCAUGUUUUGAUUGAAAGUAUCUUCUCAUCUCAAGACAACCAUGGAACAUUUGCUAAUUUGGGCAUGUUACCAUCUUGAAUGAAGAAAAAUAGACUGAGGUCUGUUAAACUGUAGCCUAUUUUAGCCCUUUCCAGAUUACAUUUUGGCAGUUUGUUAUCACUUACAUUAUCAGCCCUGAUACUGCAUGUGAUGGGAAUGUUGUAGGGUUUUGUAUUGAGAAUAUCUGUUCUGAGCAUCAAUAAACAAUGUUUAUGCUGCAUUUGCUGUUAUGGCAACUGAAGUCUAAUCUUAAAAUGGACACGAUGGAAAUAAUGGACGCUUCUCUGUCAAUGUUGCUAUGGAAACACUUUUUUCUUAAAGUAACCCAGUCAGACAGUCAGUCCAUAGUGUCACAUAUCCCACUUGGAAGCAUCCUCAGUGUGGCCUACUUUAGUGAGUGGAUAGAAAUUGGAUAGUGAUGCUGCUGCUGGAGCUCCACAGGCUUUUCAGAGGCAUAAGAGAUUACUGUGAAGUGCUGCCUUCCGUACUGUGGGCAAGAAACAAUUAAUUCAAACAAUCUGAAAUGAAGGCUGGGAAAGGUCACAAGGCUGAUGCAUCUAGCAAAGGUGACAUUUCAGGGUUCAGCAUAGGUCAGCAAAAGGAAUUUCCAUGCCAAAAUUCACAGCAAAGUUCAUGGCUUGAUGUAUUCAAGACAAAAUUGCUCCACGGUAAUUAUCCUCAAUCUAAAGCAUCUCAUAUAGGGCAGCCAGAGUUCUGCACAUAGAGAGAGAUUUUAAAAGUUACUUGCUUACUUUUGAGAAUACUACUCCCAAAAAGUAAUUUGCCCAACCUCUGUGUAUAGCCACCUUGUGCCACUAUAUCAGGAUAAAAGCAGCAUACGAAUAAAAUAAAUAAAUAGUAAUAAAUAUAUAGUGGCUUUCGGGGGAAAAUAAGGACACAAAUGGCAAAUAUAUCAAGAGCUUGCAUUUGGUUUCCUUUGACAACUUCCAAAAAUCCAGCUUGUGGCAGAAUAAACCACUAAUCCCUACUAGGUAUGUGCGAUCCAGAAGAAAAAUGAUUCUAAACUCUGUUCAAAAGUAGGGGGCGCUGGCACUUUGUUUCUAAAAUAAUUUCCAAAUUUUGAAGGCAAA